GUCAGGAUGGCCGAGCGGUCUAAGGCGCCAGACUCAAGGACUCUCCCUUGCCCGAUCGACCCGGGUUCGAGUGUUCUGGUCCUCGUCUGAGGGCGUGGGUUCAAAUCCCACUUCUGACA
This is a non-coding RNA of Hordeum vulgare subsp. vulgare (domesticated barley), 119 nucleotides long. NCBI's taxonomy places the organism in Eukaryota, Viridiplantae, Streptophyta, Magnoliopsida, Poales, Poaceae. The record is from Rfam.